This 26-nucleotide non-coding RNA is filed under the name Cricetulus griseus (Chinese hamster). The record is from RNAcentral. Lineage: Eukaryota; Metazoa; Chordata; Mammalia; Rodentia; Cricetidae.
CAAUUGAAUAAACCUACUCUGUUCUU